GCGGCUGCUAUACAUGCAGUCGAGCGAACAGACAGAGGAGCUUGCUCCUUUGACGUUAGCGGCGGACGGGUGAGUAACACGUGGGUAACCUACCUAUAAGACUGGGAUAACUUCGGGAAACCGGAGCUAAUACCGGAUAAUAUUUCGAACCGCAUGGUUCGAUAGUGAAAGAUGGCUUUGCUAUCACUUAUAGAUGGACCUGCGCCGUAUUAGCUAGUUGGUAAGGUAACGGCUUACCAAGGCAACGAUACGUAGCCGACCUGAGAGGGUGAUCGGCCACACUGGAACUGAGACACGGUCCAGACUCCUACGGGAGGCAGCAGUAGGGAAUCUUCCGCAAUGGGCGAAAGCCUGACGGAGCAACGCCGCGUGAGUGAUGAAGGUCUUCGGAUCGUAAAACUCUGUUAUUAGGGAAGAACAAACGUGUAAGUAACUGUGCACGUCUUGACGGUACCUAAUCAGAAAGCCACGGCUAACUACGUGCCAGCAGCCGCGGCAAUACGGGAGGUGGCAAGCGUUAUCCGGAAGUAUUGGGCGUAAAGCGCGCGUAGGGCGGUUUCCGAAGGACUGCCUGUGGAAAGCGCACGGCU
RNAcentral lists this ribosomal RNA (590 nucleotides) under Staphylococcus hominis. RNAcentral describes it as "bacterial SSU rRNA". It matches the Rfam family "Bacterial small subunit ribosomal RNA", at positions 39 to 609 of the family's 1533-position model. Lineage: Bacteria; Bacillati; Bacillota; Bacilli; Caryophanales; Staphylococcaceae. The record is from RNAcentral.